RNAcentral lists this ribosomal RNA (491 nucleotides) under uncultured bacterium. RNAcentral's name for it is "partial 16S ribosomal RNA". It matches the Rfam family "Bacterial small subunit ribosomal RNA", at positions 29 to 506 of the family's 1533-position model. The record is from RNAcentral.
AGUGAACGCUGGCGGUAGGCCUAGCACAUGCAAGUCGAACGGCAGCACAGUAAGAGCUUGCUCUUACGGGUGGCGAGUGGCGGACGGGUGAGGAAUACAUCGGAAUCUACUUUUUCGUGAGGGAUAACGUAGGGAAACUUACGCUAAUACCGCAUACGACCUACGGGUGAAAGCAGGGGAUCUUCGGACCUUGCGCGAUUGAAUGAGCCGAUGUCGGAUUAGCUAGUUGGCGGGGUAAAGGCCCACCAAGGCGACGAUCCGUAGCUGGUCUGAGAGGAUGAUCAGCCACACUGGAACUGAGACACGGUCCAGACUCCUACGGGAGGCAGCAGUGGGGAAUAUUGGACAAUGGGCGCAAGCCUGAUCCAGCAAUACCGCGUGGGUGAAGAAGGCCUUCGGGUUGUAAAGCCCUUUUGUUGGGAAAGAAAAGCAGCAGGUUAAUACCCCGCUGUUCUGACGGUACCAAAAGAAUAAGCACCGGCUAACUUCGU